Molecule: transfer RNA, 82 nt
Filed under: Bigelowiella natans CCMP2755
Lineage: Eukaryota; Cercozoa; Chlorarachniophyceae
Description: tRNA-Ser for anticodon CGA
Rfam family: tRNA
About the family: Transfer RNA (tRNA) molecules are approximately 80 nucleotides in length.
Source: RNAcentral
GGCGCUGUGUCCGAGUGGUUAAGGAGAUUGCCUCGAAAGCAAUUGGGCAUUGCCCGCGCAAGUUCGAAUCUUGUCGGCGUCG